This is a long non-coding RNA of Macaca mulatta (Rhesus monkey), 251 nucleotides long. The record is from Ensembl. Lineage: Eukaryota; Metazoa; Chordata; Mammalia; Primates; Cercopithecidae.
GAAGGGGACUGAUGUGGGAAGACCGGUUCGGAGGCUGUGGAAACUGUCCAGGACCCAGCAGGGGAGGAUGGUCACCAGUGAAAGAAAGACAGAGGUGAGUUACAGAGCACUCGCGUCUUAUACCUGGAAGGGUCCUUAGCCUUCAUCUGAUCCAAAUCCUUCUAUGUACAGAUCUGGGAACAGAGUGAAUAAGAGUGCUGAGUCCUAUUACUCCUGAACAGGCUUAGAAUCCAAGUCCCCAUCCUAAAUCC